AUGAACUUUUCAUUUGUUUUGGCUGCUACAAAUUAUGCAUUUAUGUGUGUUAGUAGUUGAGUUGGCUUUUUCAUGAACGAGUUUUCAGGACGUCAUUGUGAUAGCUACAAGGAGGAUGGUGAGGCCACCAAAGAAGGGCUCUGCUGCUCAAAGACCUCGCAGCCGCACACUCACCUCAGUCCACGAAGCAGUGCUUGAGGACAUCGUGAUGCCAGCUGAGAUUGUGGGGAAACGAACUAGGUACCGAGUCGAUGGUACCAAGAUCAUGAAGGUAAUGCUGCUAGUUCCUUUGUUGUUGUCGAUAUUGAACUAGUGCUGUAUAGUAUAGAGAAAUUCAGCCAACAUUCGACAUUUGUUCUUGCUUAUGAUUGACACAAUGGGCUCAUUUGAUUGUGAAAUCGAUGCUGGUGCAGGUGUUCCUAGACCCAAAGGAGAGGAACACCACGGAUUACAAACUAGAGGCCUUCUCGAAAGUUUACAGAAAGCUUACAGGCAAAGAUGUCGUAUUUGAGUUCCCAGCAACUGAAGUGGCCUAGGUAGAGGUUAGCUAGCUAGCUAGCUCAAAGCUACAUGUCGUUUUCGAGAUGAUUACGGUGUUGGUAAUUCAAUUUUUGUGUUCAAUGUUAACUUACUAUGUGAGGAAACCAGAUCUCUCCAAAUCGGAUUAUCAAUUUAUCAUUGGUAGAGUCACAACAUCCAGUAUUAAGCAUCAUAUAGUGACAAUGAAGUCGAUACCUAUGUGUUUUCUGAUUACGGUUGUGCAAAUUGGCUCGAAAUGGUUAUCGGAAUACCCUCUUGCCUCUAAUAUUUACCUUGGGUAUCGAGCCACAACCUCAUUUAUCAUCGUAUAGCAACAAUGAUCAUCGAUUCAUAAUAUUUUCACACUACAAAUUCACCAUGGUUACCGAGCAACAGCCUCGAAUGUCUCUUCAUUUGUCAUCGGAUGGAAAAUCGACAUUUUAAAACAUCAGUGUCAUUUUUGUUAAUGAUGUUUCCACCAUAGUGUGGCAUGCAAAUUGAUAAUUGAUUAGUUACUAACUGUAGAAACCAUUAUGGUUAAUCCAUUUAACCAUAUCCGUGGCCUAACUCUACUUCACUCGGUCCGACCAUCUGAGUAAUCAUUUUCCACUGACCAUACGGGCCAGGGGGACGACGGGCCUCGCAUUUUGCAAAUAGAAGUUAUAAACCCAAAAAGUCAUCAGAAACAUAAAGCCCAAUUUUAGUCAGCCCAGGCAAUCGAGCAAGCCCAGUUUUCGUAUUCAUCCUGCAUAAAACCCUAGCUAACAAUUAGCAGCCCUCCGCGCAGUUCUCCACUAGAGCAGAAAUCCUCAGAACUAUCGUCGCCUCCCUUGACGAUUUCGUGCCGCCGCUCUUCUCGGUAGGCACUGCUUUUACUCUCUACUGGAUCCUGUUCUUCGUCUUCCGUUGUUUUGUUUGUCUAAUCUCUGAGAAAAUGUAUGCUAAUAGCGUAAUCCUGGGUUAUCUUCCCACUGAAAUCUAAGUUUGAGUUUUAGCUUCACGAAAGUCUCUGUUUUCUCUCAUGGCUGGUUUAUAUCUUUUAAUUUCCGGUAUCAGUUACGGCUGUGUUAGUUUACCAAACCCUAGUUGAAUCAUAACGCCUAACUUUUAUUUCUCUGCUCAUUUGGUGAGGGAGGUCUUCACUUCUGCAUACAUAUUUUCUUUUAGAUAACCAGAACGUUGUCAACCUAAUAAAGCUGCUGUCUUUUCUGUUGUGUGUUCGUGUUUAGCUGCCAAUUCGGGUUUCAAUGUUUAACCGUUUUGGUUUUGUGUUGUUUGUUCUGGUAAAUGCAGUUCACGGUAAGAUGUAUACCGCAAAGCAGAAGAUCCACAAGGAUAAGGAUGUUGAGCCUUCAGAGUUUGAGGAGUCUGUUGCUCAGGUAUGCGGAAAAGACACAUUCCUUCAGACUAUUGACUUUAGAAGAUUGAAAUUUGAUUCUGAUUAAGGUAUGUGGUCUUUGUCUGUGCUGCAGGCGUUCUUUGAUUUGGAGAAUACCAACCAGGAGCUGAAGAGUGAGCUUAAGGAUCUCUAUAUCAACUCAGCCACGUAAGAUUUGCAUCAUUUCUACUAUGUGAAGUGACGACUGCGUUUUAUUCAGUGACUGAUAUUUUAUGCCUGUUUGUGUACUGCAGCCAGAUUGAUGUCUCUGGCAGCAGGAAGGCUGUUGUGAUCCAUGUUCCUUACAGACUUAGGAAGGCAUUCAGGAAGGUCCACACCAGACUAGUGAGGGAGCUUGAGAAGAAGUUCAGUGGAAAGGUAAUUGAACAUGCAAUUUGUUUUGUCCACUAUUCCUGUUUGACCUUUACCUUCUGGAUAAAGGCACUGAAAGUUACCCCAAAGCUGUAUAUUGGUUUGUACACUGCACUGUUGUAGACUUGUUGUUCUAAGUUGGCUCACUUUGUUGAACUUAUUUUCAGGAUGUCAUUGUUAUUGCUACCCGGAGGAUGGUGAGGCCACCAAAGAAGGGCUCAGCAGCUCAAAGACCCCGCAGCAGGACUCUCACUUCGGUCCAUGAAGCAGUGCUCGAGGACAUUGUGAUGCCAGCUGAGAUUGUUGGGAAACG
Molecule: long non-coding RNA, 2582 nt
Filed under: Linum usitatissimum (flax)
Lineage: Eukaryota; Viridiplantae; Streptophyta; Magnoliopsida; Malpighiales; Linaceae
Description: long non-coding RNA (LUSI_LNC006877)
Source: RNAcentral